UAGAUAUGGGAUUCCCAAUUUCCCAUUCAGUAACAUCUGUUAUGCUUCAUUUUCAAUAACUACAGAUGCUUUGCCACAUUUUUGCACUUGCAUUUUUUUCACUGUAAACAGCAAAGUAAGGUGCUAGAUCCCGUAAUUCACAAGUCUCACAAAAAUAAAACUAAAAAAAAUAAAAAAUAGUUAACGUGUGAUAAGUACAUUGUUACCAGAUACAUGGCAUGGGCCAAGACAUAUAUAACGACAUUGAUAUGAAUUUCCAGUGAACAUUUAAGACAUUUUUCUGUUGUCCCUUGAGAACAUUUAGUCAUUUACCCAUUUCUAGGAUUAAAUUCAUCAAUCCCUAUGGUUCAUUGUUCCCAUUUUUAUGCCCAUUUCUGUAAUUGAUGCAGACAACUACUUUAAAAAAGGUGAUGAUAUUUUAAGCCCAAAGACCCCCUUCAAAAUCAAAUCCCUUUCUAGGUAAAAAUUUUAAAAUUGAUUUUCUGAAUAAUGAAAUACAAUUGAAACCAAAAAUUUUUUUUAAUGAAUUUUUCGUAAGUGAAGGCGUGUGCAUGGACAUCGACAAAUCACAAAUAAUUACAGAAUAUGCUUAUAAACAUCUAAUUAAAAGAAAUCCGACCAAUUCAUUAUGCGUAAGUUUCCGGUGAACUCACUCAAAUGGGUCUUUGGUGGAUCCUUUGUUUUGCUCCUCAGAACCCUUAAUUUCACUCGAAACACCCUUCAAAAAAGAAAAAAGAACGCAGUGAUCACGUGCCUAAAAAGCUUAUUGAGAAAAACAAAAAGUUUAAUGCCGCCACAUAACGAGAUGAAGGAACGCAGCAGUUGUUGAUGUUGUUUUGGAAAAGGAAAAGAAGUGUUAGAAGGGUGACUGAGCCUAAAUUCCAUUAGAUUUUUUAUCCUUUUUUGGG
Molecule: long non-coding RNA, 908 nt
Filed under: Olea europaea (common olive)
Lineage: Eukaryota; Viridiplantae; Streptophyta; Magnoliopsida; Lamiales; Oleaceae
Description: long non-coding RNA (OEUR_LNC015230)
Source: RNAcentral